This 27-nucleotide small RNA is filed under the name Bombyx mori (domestic silkworm). RNAcentral's name for it is "ovarian small RNA-19404". Lineage: Eukaryota; Metazoa; Arthropoda; Insecta; Lepidoptera; Bombycidae. The record is from RNAcentral.
UAAGUCCAUAGCCUCUGCAUCCUCGAA